RNAcentral lists this ribosomal RNA (274 nucleotides) under uncultured bacterium. RNAcentral describes it as "partial 16S ribosomal RNA". It matches the Rfam family "Bacterial small subunit ribosomal RNA", at positions 523 to 796 of the family's 1533-position model. The record is from RNAcentral.
AUACGGAGGGUGCGAGCGUUAAUCGGAAUUACUGGGCGUAAAGCGCGCGCAGGCGGUUAGAUCAGUCGGGUGUGAAAGCCCCGAGCUUAACUUGGGAACUGCAUUCGAUACUGUCUAGCUAGAGUAUGGUAGAGGGAAGCGGAAUUCCGGGUGUAGCGGUGAAAUGCGUAGAUAUCCGGAGGAACACCAGUGGCGAAGGCGGCUUCCUGGACCAAUACUGACGCUCAGGCGCGAAAGCGUGGGUAGCAAACAGGAUUAGAAACCCCAGUAGUCC